CCCGCUGCACUUAAGCGCCGUGACCGGCGCUGCCCCGCGUCCGGCCGGGCCAUGGAGGUGGCGCGGGAUUGCGUGGGAUCGCUGCUGCGAUCUUUCGUAUCCAUGGGAGCAUCUGUAGGAGCAGUAACAAGACAGACCCUGUUCCCUCCGCUCAUGCCUGCAGGGCGCCCUUUCCGUGUGUCCAAUGCCUCCCGAAGCAGCCGGAAGGGAAUUGUUGCAAGCAGCCUGCAAGAACUCCUCAGCAAGACUUUAGAUGCCUUCUUUAUAACUGCUGGAAUAGUUACUCUGGUAUUGGAGGAAGAUGGCACAGUUGUGGACACAGAAGAUUUCUUCAAGUCCCUGGAUGACAAUACACAUUUCAUGGUUCUAGAAAAUGGGCAGAAAUGGACACCAACAAAGAACGGAGUUGUUGCUGUGAGAAAAAAGAAGAAAAUGGGAGUAGCUAACAUCACAUUUGAUCUGUAUAAACUGAACCCCAAGGAUUUUAUUGGCUGCUUAAACAUCAAGGCAACCUUCUAUGAGAUCUACUCUAUCUCAUAUGACAUCAAAUGCAUGGGAGCAAAAAGUGUAUUGAGGAAAGUGAUCCAGCUGAUAUCCCAUGCAGCACAAAUAACUGGCCAGUUUCUGCUCUAUACUGGAACGUAUAUGUUGCAGUUGCUGGGUGAAUAUGAUGAAGACGACAUGUGCACGAGAUCCAGGCGGGAGUAGUGACCACAGCUUCUGAUGUCGAAUCCUUUCUCUUAAAGACAUUUUCUUGUCCAGUUCUAAUUGUAACACUGUUAUAGUAGGGGAUGUGCACUGCUGUGAACUAGCAUUUUUCCUGUUUGGGAGUGCCUGUGGGCCUUAGCCAUGAAGUGUUGGAUGUUCAUAGGCUCUUAACACCACAAAAAGAUGGGUGCCUAAUGUCUGAGAAUCUGGCAAAAGGAGAGAGAGGGCAGGUUUUUGCCCCAGAAAUUCAAAUUUAAGAAUAAGUAUACUUGGAAAUCUUCAUGCUUUGUAACCAAUGGAAUAUUUUUUUUGCACCAAUCAGGACAUUGGGGGUUUUGUGUGGUUAUUUUCUUGUUUGUUUUGGUGUUUUGUUGUUGUUUGUUUUUCAUGGCUAUCUACUUGCAUUCUAAACAGACUGGGCUGUAAGAUAAGGUCAUGGGGACUGUGGGGUUUGUUUAUUUGUUAGUUUUAAUCCUUAACAGUUCUGGCAUUAGUGUGAAGCUGACAUUGUGGUGAAUGUACCUAUUUACUCCUGCUGACAAUGGAACUACAUAGUGCAACUUCAGCCCUACUUCAGUGACUGGCUCUUCUCAUGAAGUCUUAUUGGAGAUUGUGCAACCACUAAGCAGAAGGUUAAGAUUUAGCCUUACUUCCCUUGAAACAAAUAAAACCUUCUCAUAGUAGUUCUUCAUAUUUUUUUUUUUCAAAUCUUCAGGAUGUUCAGGUUGUUACAGCUCACACAGUGCAAGAACCUGAUACCUUUUCUUAAUGAAUCUGAUGUCCAGUUCUGCCUGAGCAUUGAAUAAUCUUCUUUCAUGACUAUGACUUGUAAGGAACCUGCUGAAGCUUUUUUCAGGGGUUAAACCACCACUUCUGUAGUUUUUGCUGUUACAAGAUAACACUAGCUGUCAAGUUGGGCCUGAGGUACAUGUAUGGUACACGAUGCUGGAUAUUUUCUUGCCCUUGGUUUCAGAGAGAGCAGUAGGACACUGCCUAAUCUUGCAUAACAUAUGUGUAUGCUCUAAAGUGAAUAUUUGUAGUGUUAUAAUCUCCCAAGACAAGCUGUAUCAGAGGACAAAGUAAUGCUUCUUGCAGUUUAUUGAACUGGUGCUAUGCCCAGCGUUCAGUAAGCUUUUCCUCAACAGUGUGAAAGAUUGGGGAAGAAGUACCCUUAGGCAUCUUGUGUCAAAAUGCAGACUCACAUUGGUGAAGGAAAAAAAGCCCAGUUUUUGAUUGUUCACAGGUGUAGCUUUUGAAGUUUUUGUUUGCUUGCACAUGAAGAACUUGAGGAAGGCUGAAAGCUGUUAAGGUGAUACCAAAUGCAGGAAAUGUAUCUGUCCUGACAGUAGGUGCCACCUAGUAAGAGAAGCUCUAGUGCAGAGAGAACACGUGGGGCAGGGGAGGAAAUCGGUGGGAGUGAAAGGGAAAAGACCACUAUAGACCCCAUAGUUCUUGCCAUGCCUCUGAGACAGGAGUCCAUUAACUGUGUGCACCAGCUGCACUGACCUGAUCUGCUAAAAGAGAAGCAGAAAGGUGGAAAAGAUGAAGUAUCAUGGUUGGUGGUAUCUAUUCUGACCUCUUCGCUGGGUCUGUUCACUUCAAAGGUCACUGAUAUAUGGGAAAAUUGCUCUUGCUUUUAGCUGCAAGUCUCACCUUCAUGUGCUUAUUUUUUUCCUUCCCACUCUGAGUGUGGCUAUGCCAGUCUGAGCUGCAUAUUUCAGAUCACAUUUGAGAGGAAAGGCAGCCUAAACCCAAGUGCUAAAGGGGACUGAUGGAUACAAUUUUUGGUCGGUCUCUGCCCAUCUCUUAAGUGAUGGUAUUACAAAUAUAUAGACAGCUAAGAAAAACUUUGUCUUUUUUCCUAAUUCCUGUUGUUUCCCAUCUACUUCUGAGCAUUUGCUGGAGGAGGCAGAGGUCAUACUGCUCCAGAUAAGGGGAGGACUUGUUCUUUCCUAAUUUCUCACAGGAGAGAAUGCCUGGAGCUUGCAGCACUGUCACGUGUCCUUCAGAAGAAAACAAUAAACUAUUCUGGGAGUAAUGAGAAAGUUCCCGUUUUGAUAUAACCUCGUUGUUUUAUCUGUAUUUUUCUUGACACCCCCUGCGUAAAUGAUUGUUGCCACGUUAAUUGUUGGCCAAAGUCUUUCUUUCCCUGUCAAGGAAUUGCAUUUUAACUGCCUUUACAUGGACAUGGUAAUUAAUUUUUUCAGCUUUUAAGGACCACUUAUUCUAUUAAAACAAGCACACCUCUUGAAAGCAAAUUCUCUUAAAUGCUUCUGUGAAUAUUUUUGUUGCCUAUGGUGGGAACACCAGCAUUAAGAGAAGGUAAAACAACUGGAAUAUCUCAUUGUUGCUUUGUUUGAAUUGCUUCUUCAACAUCUGUAGUACAAAAGUUUGUGCAUGUCUGAACAGUGCAGAUCCUAAAUUACAGCCUUCUCUAGCCAGAGGCAAUUGUUACAGCACUAACACAUCAUGGUUUCCUGUGGCACUAUCUGGGAAUCCAGCAGUGAUCUGAAAAGCUAACCUGCUAUGAAUGUGCAAUGUUUUUAAGCAGCUGCUCUUUCAACAGCUUAACACUUAAAACUUGAUCUGCUGAAGUUCCUGUGUGCAGCAGUCUCCAUCUUGGAGCAAUUCCCUCUGUUCAGCUGUUUGCAUUUUGAAUUAAAUUAGCUCAGCUUUGAUACUUUCUCAGAAUGGGAGAAGUGUCCUAGAAGUUGUUUCUAAAAUUGUUUCAUUGCUUCUGAAUCUGGAUCUUUCACAGGCUUAAUAUUGGGAGGUGAUUUUUUUUUUCUACUGUACCAACUUCUAUCUGGAAAUAAAGUUUUGGCUUUGAGUCAAA
Non-coding RNA from Taeniopygia guttata (zebra finch), 3544 nucleotides. The record is from RefSeq and is a predicted model, not a curated record. Lineage: Eukaryota; Metazoa; Chordata; Aves; Passeriformes; Estrildidae.